AGAUAAUAGAUACCCGGGUAGUCCAUGCCGUAAACGUUGGGCACUAGGUGUGGGGGACAUUCCACGUUUUCCGCGCCGUAGCUAAACGCAUUAAGUGCCCCGCCUGGGGAGUACGGCCGCAAGGCUAAAACUCAAAGGAAUUGACGGGGGCCCGCACAAGCGGCGGAGCAUGCGGAUUAAUUCGAUGCAACGCGAAGAACCUUACCAAGGCUUGACAUGAACCGGAAAGAUCUGGAAACAGGUCCCCACUUGUGGUCGGUUUACAGGUGGUGCAUGGUUGUCGUCAGCUCGUGUCGUGAGAUGUUGGGUUAAGUCCCGCAACGAGCGCAACCCUCGUUCUAUGUUGCCAGCACGUGAUGGUGGGGACUCAUAGGAGACUGCCGGGGUCAACUCGGAGGAAGGUGGGGACGACGUCAAAUCAUCAUGCCCCUUAUGUCUUGGGCUCCACGCAUGCUACAAUGGCCGGUACAAAGGGUUGCGAUACUGUGAGGUGAGCUAAUCCCAAAAGCCGGUCUCAGUUCGGAUU
This 526-nucleotide ribosomal RNA is filed under the name uncultured bacterium. Its description in RNAcentral is "bacterial SSU rRNA". It matches the Rfam family "Bacterial small subunit ribosomal RNA", at positions 775 to 1299 of the family's 1533-position model. The record is from RNAcentral.